RNAcentral lists this ribosomal RNA (449 nucleotides) under uncultured bacterium. Its description in RNAcentral is "bacterial SSU rRNA". It matches the Rfam family "Bacterial small subunit ribosomal RNA", at positions 30 to 473 of the family's 1533-position model. The record is from RNAcentral.
AUUGAACGCUGGCGGCAUGCUUUACACAUGCAAGUCGAACGGCAGCACGGGUGCUUGCACCUGGUGGCGAGUGGCGGACGGGUGAGUAAUACAUCGGAACGUGUCCUGAAGUGGGGGAUAACGCAUCGAAAGAUGUGCUAAUACCGCAUAAUCUCUAAGGAGAAAAGUAGGGGAUCGAAAGACCUUAUGCUUUUGGAGCGGCCGAUGUCUGAUUAGCUAGUUGGUAAGGUAAUGGCUUACCAAGGCGACGAUCAGUAGUUGGUCUGAGAGGACGGCCAGCCACACUGGGACUGAGACACGGCCCAGACUCCUACGGGAGGCAGCAGUGGGGAAUUUUGGACAAUGGGCGCAAGCCUGAUCCAGCAAUGCCGCGUGAGUGAAGAAGGCCUUCGGGUUGUAAAGGUACUCUUUCUAGUUUGAAAGAAAAAAUACAAUGACUAAUAAUACAU